RNAcentral lists this ribosomal RNA (981 nucleotides) under Acinetobacter baumannii 756476. RNAcentral describes it as "bacterial SSU rRNA". It matches the Rfam family "Bacterial small subunit ribosomal RNA", at positions 8 to 983 of the family's 1533-position model. The record is from RNAcentral. Lineage: Bacteria; Pseudomonadati; Pseudomonadota; Gammaproteobacteria; Moraxellales; Moraxellaceae.
AGAGUUUGAUCAUGGCUCAGAUUGAACGCUGGCGGCAGGCUUAACACAUGCAAGUCGAGCGGGGGAAGGUAGCUUGCUACUGGACCUAGCGGCGGACGGGUGAGUAAUGCUUAGGAAUCUGCCUAUUAGUGGGGGACAACAUCUCGAAAGGGAUGCUAAUACCGCAUACGUCCUACGGGAGAAAGCAGGGGAUCUUCGGACCUUGCGCUAAUAGAUGAGCCUAAGUCGGAUUAGCUAGUUGGUGGGGUAAAGGCCUACCAAGGCGACGAUCUGUAGCGGGUCUGAGAGGAUGAUCCGCCACACUGGGACUGAGACACGGCCCAGACUCCUACGGGAGGCAGCAGUGGGGAAUAUUGGACAAUGGGGGGAACCCUGAUCCAGCCAUGCCGCGUGUGUGAAGAAGGCCUUAUGGUUGUAAAGCACUUUAAGCGAGGAGGAGGCUACUUUAGUUAAUACCUAGAGAUAGUGGACGUUACUCGCAGAAUAAGCACCGGCUAACUCUGUGCCAGCAGCCGCGGUAAUACAGAGGGUGCGAGCGUUAAUCGGAUUUACUGGGCGUAAAGCGUGCGUAGGCGGCUUAUUAAGUCGGAUGUGAAAUCCCCGAGCUUAACUUGGGAAUUGCAUUCGAUACUGGUGAGCUAGAGUAUGGGAGAGGAUGGUAGAAUUCCAGGUGUAGCGGUGAAAUGCGUAGAGAUCUGGAGGAAUACCGAUGGCGAAGGCAGCCAUCUGGCCUAAUACUGACGCUGAGGUACGAAAGCAUGGGGAGCAAACAGGAUUAGAUACCCUGGUAGUCCAUGCCGUAAACGAUGUCUACUAGCCGUUGGGGCCUUUGAGGCUUUAGUGGCGCAGCUAACGCGAUAAGUAGACCGCCUGGGGAGUACGGUCGCAAGACUAAAACUCAAAUGAAUUGACGGGGGCCCGCACAAGCGGUGGAGCAUGUGGUUUAAUUCGAUGCAACGCGAAGAACCUUACCUGGCCUUG